ACACUCCUGCGGGAGGCAGCAGUGGGGAAUUUUGGACAAUGGGCGAAAGCCUGAUCCAGCAAUGCCGCGUGAGUGAAGAAGGCCUUCGGGUUGUAAAGCUCUUUUGUCAGGGAAGAAACGGUGAAAGCUAAUAUCUUUUGCUAAUGACGGUACCUGAAGAAUAAGCACCGGCUAACUACGUGCCAGCAGCCGCGGUAAUACGUAGGGUGCAAGCGUUAAUCGGAAUUACUGGGCGUAAAGCGUGCGCAGGCGGUUUUGUAAGUCUGAUGUGAAAUCCCCGGGCUCAACCUGGGAAUUGCAUUGGAGACUGCAAGGCUAGAAUCUGGCAGAGGGGGGUAGAAUUCCACGUGUAGCAGUGAAAUGCGUAGAUAUGUGGAGGAACACCGAUGGCGAAGGCAGCCCCCUGGGUCAAGAUUGACGCUCAUGCACGAAAGCGUGGGGAGCAAACAGGAUUAGAAACCCGUGUAGUCC
Molecule: ribosomal RNA, 471 nt
Filed under: uncultured organism
Description: partial 16S ribosomal RNA
Rfam family: Bacterial small subunit ribosomal RNA
Source: RNAcentral